AUCUGACGGUCGGAAUAAAGGCAUUAAAAUGGUCGGAUUAAUGGUCAGUCGACAUUAUGGGACUAAAACAAUACAACUCGCCGUAGACCUGCAUGGUCAGAUUAGCGGGUCGGAGUUACGGGUAGUCGGACCCCCUGGUGGCGCCACUGACGUUAGAUGUCGACAGGAGUCUUAACAUGGAACAAAAGUCAGCAUUAAGGCUGGAAAGUGGAGAACUGCAUCAUGUUGAUGAAAAAGAAGACAAAGAUCAACAGGAUGUCGACAAACCUGAAGACUGUUCACUUGUUCCCACAGAGCGUUUCGACAUCAGUCCACCUGCAGUGAUCUACACAUUGAAACACAAAAUAACGUCAUCAGAAUUUUAAGUUGUUUUGAUUUAAAGAUUAACGUUGUUGUACACAUUCAAACCAACCUCAGUGUAUGAAAUAAAAAAGUGGAUGAAUUAUCUUUCAAAAUGUUUCCAAGCUUCACCUCUCUGAAACCAGUGAUGUGAUUAUAAAGUAGCUGAAUGCUGCCAUCUUGUGGUCUCAUUGGAUAUUACAUAAACACCUGUAUCCUGAAUACUUCUGAUUAAAGAGACUCAUGUAUCCUCA
Long non-coding RNA from Epinephelus moara (kelp grouper), 593 nucleotides. RefSeq lists it as uncharacterized. Lineage: Eukaryota; Metazoa; Chordata; Actinopteri; Perciformes; Serranidae. The record is from RefSeq and is a predicted model, not a curated record. The transcript has 2 exons.